RNAcentral lists this ribosomal RNA (465 nucleotides) under uncultured bacterium. Its description in RNAcentral is "bacterial SSU rRNA". It matches the Rfam family "Bacterial small subunit ribosomal RNA", at positions 338 to 795 of the family's 1533-position model. The record is from RNAcentral.
CCUACGGGUCGCACCAGUGGGGAAUAUUGCACAAUGGGCGCAAGCCUGAUGCAGCCAUGCCGCGUGUAUGAAGAAGGCCUUAGGGUUGUAAAGUACUUUCAGUUGGGAGGAAGGCGUUGAUGCUAAUAUCAUCAACAAUUGACGUUACCAACAGAAGAAGCACCGGCUAACUCCGUGCCAGCAGCCGCGGUAAUACGGAGGGUGCAAGCGUUAAUCGGAAUUACUGGGCGUAAAGCGCACGCAGGCGGUCUGUCAAGUCGGAUGUGAAAUCCCCGGGCUCAACCUGGGAACUGCAUUCGAAACUGGCAGGCUAGAGUCUUGUAGAGGGGGGUAGAAUUCCAGGUGUAGCGGUGAAAUGCGUAGAGAUCUGGAGGAAUACCGGUGGCGAAGGCGGCCCCCUGGACAAAGACUGACGCUCAGGUGCGAAAGCGUGGGGAGCAAACAGGAUUAGAUACCCCGGUAGUC